AUUGAACGCUGGCGGCAGGCUUAACACAUGCAAGUCGAACGGAGUGGCGGACGGGUGAGUAAUGCUUGGGAAUCUGGCUUAUGGAGGGGGAUAACUACGGGAAACUGUAGCUAAUACCGCAUAUUGAUGGAUGGACCCGCGGUGCAUUAGCUAGUUGGUGAGGUAACGGCUCACCAAGGCCACGAUGCAUAGCCGACCUGAGAGGGUGAUCGGCCACACUGGGACGGAGACACGGCCCAGACUCCUACGGGAGGCAGCAGUGGGGAAUAUUGGACAAUGGGCGAAAGCCUGAUCCAGCCAUGCCGCGUGUGUGAAGAAGGUCUUCGGAUUGUAAAGCACUUUAAGUUGGGAGGCGUUACCAACAGAAUAAGCACCGGCUAACUUCGUGCCAGCAGCCGCGGUAAUAC
This 407-nucleotide ribosomal RNA is filed under the name uncultured bacterium. RNAcentral describes it as "partial 16S ribosomal RNA". It matches the Rfam family "Bacterial small subunit ribosomal RNA", at positions 30 to 526 of the family's 1533-position model. The record is from RNAcentral.